Molecule: ribosomal RNA, 423 nt
Filed under: uncultured bacterium
Lineage: Bacteria
Description: bacterial SSU rRNA
Rfam family: Bacterial small subunit ribosomal RNA
Source: RNAcentral
AUAUUGCGCAAUGGGCGAAAGCCUGACGCAGCGACGCCGCGUGAGGGAUGAAGGUCUUCGGAUCGUAAACCUCUGCCAGCAGGGAAGAANGGUCACUGUGCUAAUCAGCAGUGAAUUGACGGUACCUGCAAAUGAAGCACCGACUAACUCCGUGCCAGCAACCGCGGUAAAACGGAGGGUGCGAGCGUUAAUCGGAAUUACUGGGCGUAAAGCGCUCGUAGGCGGUAUGUCAAGUCAAGGGUGAAAUCCCCGCGCUCAACGUGGGAACUGCCUUUGAAACUGGCAAACUGGAGUGUGUGAGAGGAUAGUGGAAUUCCAGGUGUAGGAGUGAAAUCCGUAGAUAUCUGGAGGAACAUCAGUGGCGAAGGCGACUAUCUGGCACAUAACUGACGCUGAGGAGCGAAAGCGUGGGUAGCAAACAGG